CAGCUGGACUCAGUUUAGAUGAUCCCAAUUUUGUUGGCAACAUCCAAAACAUCAUAGUCGGGAGCCAGUCGAACGUAUGUUUCCUUUUCUCCAUCAGGCCUGAUCAGAGUGUUGACCUUGGCCACGCCAAUAUCGUAGAGCUUCUUCACGGCCUGUCUGAUCUGGUGCGUGUUGGCCUUGGCACCCACGAUGAAACAAGUGUGUUGUGUCUUCCAUCUUCUUCUUCACGGCUGACUCGGUAGUCAGGGGGAGCUUGGUGAUGGCAUCGCGGUCAAGCUUGUUUCUCCGGAGGCUGCCCUUCCCAGGAUAUUUGGGCUGCCUUUGGAGACGCAGUGUUUUGGGCCGCCGGAAUGUAGGUGACGUGCAGAUCUUCUUCUUCUUCUUUCUUUAUGACUGUGGACACCUUUCAGCACUGCUUUCUUGGCCUUCAAAGCCUUUGCUUUGGCUUUGGCUUUGGGAGGGGCAGGGGCUUCCUUCUUCGCCAUC
RNAcentral lists this long non-coding RNA (486 nucleotides) under Lynx pardinus (Iberian lynx). The record is from RNAcentral. Lineage: Eukaryota; Metazoa; Chordata; Mammalia; Carnivora; Felidae.